GCCGUCGUGGCGUAAUGGUAGCGCGUCGCUUUCCUAAGAAAAAGCAGGCGAAGGUUGUGGGUUCGAUCCCCACCGUCGGUA
This is a non-coding RNA of Hymenopellis radicata, 81 nucleotides long. NCBI's taxonomy places the organism in Eukaryota, Fungi, Basidiomycota, Agaricomycetes, Agaricales, Physalacriaceae. The record is from the annotation of a GenBank genome assembly.